CCACGAGACCCGAGACGGCUCGGAUAAGAUGCAGUGUACAACAGUAAAGUACAAGACAUCCGUCAGCGGGCUCUUGGAUGUGACACAAGAAAGUAACGCUUAUCUGGUGAGAGAAGGUCAGGAGGCGGAAACACACACAGUGGUCGAACAUAACUACGGAAAAAUUCGUUCUUACCAUACUUCUGUCACAUUUUCAGAAUGUUUCCUUAAGUAAGAGUGUGAGUACUCUUGCUAUCAUGAGAAAGCAGGCACACACACACACACACACACAGCCGUAGCAGAA
Hippocampus comes (tiger tail seahorse) is the source of this 283-nucleotide long non-coding RNA. RefSeq lists it as uncharacterized. Lineage: Eukaryota; Metazoa; Chordata; Actinopteri; Syngnathiformes; Syngnathidae. The record is from RefSeq and is a predicted model, not a curated record. The transcript has 3 exons.